ACAGGGAUUGCCCUAGUAACGGCGAGUGAAGCGGCAACAGCUCAAAUUUGAAAUCUGGCGUCUUCGGCGUCCGAGUUGUAAUUUGCAGAGGGCGCUUUGGCAUUGGCAGCGGUCCAAGUUCCUUGGAACAGGACGUCACAGAGGGUGAGAAUCCCGUACGUGGUCGCUAGCCUUUACCGUGUAAAGCCCCUUCGACGAGUCGAGUUGUUUGGGAAUGCAGCUCUAAAUGGGAGGUAAAUUUCUUCUAAAGCUAAAUACUGGCCAGAGACCGAUAGCGCACAAGUAGAGUGAUCGAAAGAUGAAAAGCACUUUGGAAAGAGAGUUAAAAAGCACGUGAAAUUGUUGAAAGGGAAGCGCUUGCAGCCAGACUUGCCUGUAGUUGCUCAUCCGGGUUUCUACCCGGUGCACUCUUCUACGGGCAGGCCAGCAUCAGUUUGGGCGGUUGGAUAAAGGUCUCUGUCAUGUACCUCUCUUCGGGGAGAACUUAUAGGGGAGACGACAUGCAACCAGCCUGGACUGAGGUCCGCGCAUCUGCUAGGAUGCUGGCGUAAUGGCUGUAAGCGGCCCGUCUUGAAACACGGACCAAGGAGUCUAACAUCUAUGCGAGUGUUUGGGUGUCAAGCCCGAGCGCGUAAUGAAAGUGAACGGAGGUGGGAACCUUUCGGGGUGCACCAUCGACCGAUCCUGAUGUCUUCGGAUGGAUUUGAGUAAGAGCAUAGCUGUUGGGACCCGAAAGAUGGUGAACUAUGCUUGAAUAGGGUGAAGCCAGAGGAAACUCUGGUGGAGGCUCGCAGCGGUUCUGACGUGCAAAUCGAUCGUCAAAUUUGGGCAUAGGGGCGAAAGACUAAUCGAACUAUCUAGUAGCUGGUUCCUGCCGAAGUUUCCCUCAGGAUAGCAGUAACGUUUUCAGUUUUAUGAGGUAAAGCGAAUGAUUAGAGGCCUGGGGGUUGAAACAACCUUCACCUAUUCUCAAACUUUAAAUAUGUAAGAAGUCCUUGUUACUUGAUUGAACGUGGACAGUUGAAUGUAUCGUUACUAGUGGGCCAUUUUUGGUAAGCAGAACUGGCGAUGCGGGAUGAACCGAACGCGGGGUUAAGGUGCCAGAAUGCACGCUCAUCAGACACCACAAAAGGUGUUAGUUCAUCUAGACAGCAGGACGGUGGCCAUGGAAAUCCGAAUCCGCUAAGGA
This 1189-nucleotide ribosomal RNA is filed under the name Didymella americana. RNAcentral describes it as "partial 28S ribosomal RNA". It matches the Rfam family "Eukaryotic large subunit ribosomal RNA", at positions 68 to 1277 of the family's 3401-position model. The record is from RNAcentral. Lineage: Eukaryota; Fungi; Ascomycota; Dothideomycetes; Pleosporales; Didymellaceae. RNAcentral also lists the same sequence under 1 other name.